UGUGAGCCUCUGUGUGAGUGCUAGGAAUUGAACCCAGGUCCCCUGGAAGAGGAACAAGUGCUCUUAAC
This 68-nucleotide microRNA precursor is filed under the name Mus caroli (Ryukyu mouse). RNAcentral's name for it is "miRNA (MGP_CAROLIEiJ_G0007524.1)". Lineage: Eukaryota; Metazoa; Chordata; Mammalia; Rodentia; Muridae. The record is from RNAcentral.